This 468-nucleotide ribosomal RNA is filed under the name uncultured bacterium. Its description in RNAcentral is "partial 16S ribosomal RNA". It matches the Rfam family "Bacterial small subunit ribosomal RNA", at positions 28 to 507 of the family's 1533-position model. The record is from RNAcentral.
GACGAACGCUGGCGGCGUGCUUAACACAUGCAAGUCGAACGGAAAGGCCCUGCUUUUGUGGGGUGCUCGAGUGGCGAACGGGUGAGUAACACGUGAGUAACCUGCCCUUGACUUUGGGAUAACUUCAGGAAACUGGGGCUAAUACCGGAUAGGAGCUCCUGCUGCAUGGUGGGGGUUGGAAAGUUUCGGCGGUUGGGGAUGGACUCGCGGCUUAUCAGCUUGUUGGUGGGGUAGUGGCUUACCAAGGCUUUGACGGGUAGCCGGCCUGAGAGGGUGACCGGCAACAUUGGAACUGAGAUACGGCCCAGACUCCUACGGGAGGCAGCAGUGGGGAAUAUUGCACAAUGGGCGGAAGCCUGAUGCAGCAACGCCGCGUGCGGGAUGACGGCCUUCGGGUUGUAAAACGCUUUCGCCUGUGACGAAGCGUGAGUGACGGUAAUGGGUAAAGAAGCACCGGCUAACUACGUG